UUUUUUUUUCUCUUGUUAACUAACAAUACAACAUUGAGAAUGGACAAUUUAAACCUCUAAUUUGUUGAUCUGGGACAUCUUAGGUCGAUGGCAUUCGUCGUCAGUCGGGUUGGCCUCAAGAGUGUGAUCUACACUUAUUUUUUGAGCUUAUUUCUGUACGAAUGACCAAAUAUUUGAAUUGUUAAUGCAGAAUGUCUCAGUUUUAGAAGGUUAAUUUUCAUAUUAUAGGAUUGAAUAUUCCGCAGUCAUUUUAGAAUCGGAUCAUUUUUACAAAAAUCUCUUUUUAUUACGGGGUGGAAGCCGGAGCGGAAACGUUUACACAAAAGGCGCUGUGUUCUCAGUGUUCGUGUGUUGUAAGCGAUCAGUUAGAAGUGAGUUUGACCUAUAAAUUAGCUCCCGAAGAUCAAUAACUAAAAAGGGUAGCUUCAGUUUCCAUUUUCCAAAUUGCAGGGAGCAGAAAGAUGCAAUCUUGUUCAUAAUCUGAAGCUAAGUUGUUAGAAUAAGCAGCCAACAAUGCGGACUCUAGUUCAGAAACUACUGCCCAGAACAACGUUCAAGCAGGUGCGUUUUUGUGCAUCUAUAUAUUUUUUUUCUUUACCCCAUUUGCAAUGAGUUAUCUAUUGUUGCUUUGUAAGAAACUAGUUUGUUAUGUUGAUUGUUUUCAAAAUUAUCCAUUUUUUUUAUUGAGUUGAAGUGUUUGUGAUUCUUGAAUUGAGCAGACGUGCUUCUUCUUUCCAGCAAGAGAUUUCUUUUCAAUAUGAUUGUAAAAAUUCUUUCAGAUAACAGUGUUGGUUGGAAUUGAAAUCUUUUAGUUGCAGAAUUUGUUGCAAAUAUUUAGGCCGAACUCUCUCCCCAAUCAAAGAUUGUGGAAUUUGGAGAGUUUCGAUGAUUAUUCUUGUGGGGUCCUUUUGAAGAAGCUGUCAAGGACAUCUCAAGAGCCUCCUCCAGGCUCAACAAUCGGUUGUUCAAGUGGAAGGAAAGCUUCAAAGAGGAUCAAAUCCUUCCUUCUGUUGGACUUUAAGAGCUGCUCUUUUUUUGGUCAAAAUCUUAUAGAAAAGCCUGAAAUUGUUGUUUGAUGUGGUCCAAAGUCUUUUGGGAGAUUUGGUGGAAUGAAUUCUUAGAAUUUAGAAAGAUAAGUUAAGAGAAGAUGGUGUAUUUUAUUUAGAUUAGUUUUAUGAUUCUAGCGAAUUGGAGUUCUUUUCCUGAUCUCCUUGGCUCUUGGGGAAUCUUCUUCUUCUUUUUUUAUUAUUGUUUAUUUUUGUAUGUGUUAUGUUUUUAAGCUUUUUGUGAUAAAAAUGCCUCCCCAUUUGAAUACGAUCCCUUUACAAGUCUUGAAAAAAAGCACAACGUGUUGAUGUUGUUGUAUUUUGGUUUGCAGGUUGUUGCUUUCCGGGGAUAUUGUACUGAUAAGAUACUUGACAUUGGACAGCCUACAGCUGCUUCUCAUCCAGAGGUCUGAUUUGACAUGAAGUACAGAGGCUAUGCACUAGGCAUGCCUCCAUUAUGGUUUUGCUUAAUAAUUAAAUGGUAUUAUUGUUUGGUAAAGUUCUAGAAAUAUAUUCAUUUAGUUGCUGAACCUUGUAGUUGAUGAAAGAAGGGGAAAUUACCCCAGGAAUAACUGCUGAUGAAUACAUUACGAGAAGAAAAAGGUUGCUGGAGCUUCUACCAGAGAAUAGUUUGGCCGUUAUUGCAGCUGCGCCAGUGAAAAUGAUGACCGAUGUGGUGCCUUACACAUUUCGACAAGAUGCUGAUUACUUAUAUGUCACUGGAUGUCUACAACCCGGUGGUUUGGCAGUUCUGAGUCAUGACUUUGGAUUGUGCAUGUUCAUGCCUGAAACAAAGCCUUAUGUAUGUCUAUUCUUAUUCAUUUAAUAAUUCUUUACUCUUUUCCCUAACAAUUUAGGUUCUUUGGUAGUAAUUACUUCUGAAGUGGUUGGAUAUAAAAUUAAGGAACACAGUUAAGUUUAUAAACAAAUUUUAUUUCUUUCAUCUCUCUUUUAGUUUUUGAUGUAACUGCAUUCCUGUGUGCCCUUAUGCACUUCUCUUCAUUUUAAAAAUGUUCACUUUCAGUUUUCACUGUAACACCAUUAUCUUCUUAACCUUAUCAGAUAUCCUUUAAGACCACUUUAUCAACAAAGAGACAACAAAUAUUUAUGAGGAGAAAAGAUGGGAAUGAAAGAUCAAAGAUUACCAAACCAAAUAACCUCUUGAACUUAGUUUUUGCUCCAUUAUGUAAAACAAACUUGACAGAUGGUAGGAACAAACUGAGACCUUUAAGAAAUGUACUUCCAUGGACUUUGAUUAUGAACUCUUUGAACCAAGAUGAAAACCAUCCAUUUUGAAGGAGAUAAGACAGCUUUCUCUCAAAACCUAAGCAAGGUGAUUACAGAAAAGACCCCCAGUCAAGGCUAUCUUAGAAGUGAAGAAAUCACAUAAAUCAUUAAGCAUUUGUAUCUAAGAGGAAGCAAUGUACUGUACAAUAUCUCAACAAAAACCACAAACUCUACACAGAGUAUUCUGUUGUUCCGAAGGAGGGAUAACUCAAGGAGCAUUUUUCCAGAUAGUUUUUGACUUUCCCUGUAAGGACCAAUGGAUAUGAUCUCUUGGAGCAAAUUAAUGAUAUCUCUAGGACAAUGCCAUCCAAAUCUAAACUGGCAGAAGCAAGAUCUCUGCUUUCAAUUUUCUUAAAUGAAUUUAGUUAAAAUGUAAGGUGACAUUCAAGGUCUUCUAGCCAUUGUUGCAUUGCUAGCUGAUUUUACUAGGAUGGGACAAGUUGGUUAUUGUGGUGGAGUGAAUAAUAUUUUUAACAUUUCUGUGGGUUGGUCUGAAGAUUUUUCAUCUUGAGUUUUUUGCUGUGAUGGUUAACUAAGGAAUGAUGCAUCAGGGUUUGUCUAUUGUUUUCUUGUUCAUUUUUUCUGUAAGGUAAGUAAGAUCUGAGUAUGAUCAAGAGGUCAGCAGUUGUGUGGCCAUGCAAUUUAAUCAUAUUUUAUCAGGAUGUUCUUUGGAACGGGAAAAUUGCUGGAGUCGAUGAAGCAUUGGAAUUUUUCAAGGCUGAUGAAGCAUAUCCAUUGAGAAAGUUGCGUGAGGUGAGUAAAUUCUAGGAAAUAUGAUAGAGCCAAUACUGAGAUCUGUUUGUUUUGUCAUGGCUGAUUUACAUCACUCAUGAAUUUACUUUUAAGAUUCUGUGGAACUGAAUGAGGCAUUUUCGCUGUCCAUGAAGUUCUCUUUACAAGUAUUUUUCUUUUCACCCUCUGUAUUGGACCACAGAUACUUCCGGAUAUUAUUAGGAGGUCCUCAAAGUUGUUUCAUAAUUCAAGUACUGCCAGUCCAGCUUAUGUGGAUUUAGAGGCCUUCCGAAAAGCGGCAGAGAAUGGCCAAGUGAAAGAUAUUUCACUUUUUACUCAUGAAUUGCGGUUAAUAAAAUCAACAGCAGAGAUGAAGUUAAUGAAGGAAUCUGCUUCAAUUGCUUGUCAGGUACCUACAAGAUUUUUGUUGAUUUAUCCUGUUGGCUUCAUGAUCUUGUAUUGAAUGUCUCCUUUUGAACUCAGUUAUUUGUUAAGAAUUAAUUAAUUAAUGGUUGGAAGGCUGUUACUCAAUAGUUUUGUUGGAAGAGGGGCUUUCUCAUCCCUCUGCAGCAAGGCUGUCCGUUUUUGUCUUAUACAAUUCUUGUCUUUUAUCUAAUUACUCAGUAGCUCAGUCAUAGACUUCUAGUUUGAUAUAUUUAUUUUACAACUUAGCUAGAGCACAAUGGUAAAAAUGGACAAUUUGUUUUUCAGAAUUGACCUGUCAACUUGAUUUUAAAUCCUCUUUUGUACCAUGUAAGUCUUCAGUCAGUUCGUCUUGGGAAAAUGGACUUUCCUCAGACUCCAAAGUUAUUCAUAAAUAGGAGUUUAUUUUAUUUUAUUUUUAUAAUAAUUGUUAUUUUUUAUGAGACAUUAAUCACUGACUUGAAUCAUCACGAGAAAUCCCGCCUUCAAAUUGAGGGAGGAUAAAAUAUCACGAGAGUGCAAUAUUUUUUCUUCAAAGCACAACUAUUUCUUCCACAUGUUGUCAAUUUUUUCUAAGUUUACUUUUACAAAAAUGAUGCUUCCUAUGUUUGUUUUUGUUGGUUUUAGGCUCUUUUGCAGACAAUGAUGCAUUCAAAGACAUAUCCUCAUGAGAGUCUGUUAUCCGCAAAGGUAGAAUAUGAGUGCAGAAUGAGAGGUGCCCAACGGAUGGCGUGAGUGCUCUUCAUAACUGGAUUUAAAGAAGCACCCCUAUCUAGAUGUUUUCAUUUUAUUCUUAACUGUAUGCUGAAUUGUGCAAAGUCUAAUUUUAUAUUUUAAUAGGAGACUUUAAAUUAUGCAAGAUUUUACAGUUGAUUCUCAACUUACCUUCUCUGUCACAGAUAUAAUCCUGUGGUGGGUGGUGGCUGUAAUGGUAGUGUUAUACAUUAUUCUCGAAAUGAUCGGAAAGUAAGUGAAUUCAUCAAUUAGUACUUAGGCUUUACUAUUGUGAAAGAUUGAAAGAGUAUGUUCAUUCAUAGGUGGUAUGCACAUGAUAAAUGAUUGCAGGUCAAAGAAGGGGAUCUUGUUCUAAUGGAUAUUGGGUGCGAAUUGCAUGGUUAUGUUAGCGAUCUUACUCGUACCUGGCCCCCUUGUGGAAAGUUUUCUGCUGCUCAGGUGUUUUACCUUUUUCCCCAAGUCUAUUUAUCUAUUUCAAACAAUGUGAGGAUUUUCAGCAAACUUCUUGUUUCGCCGAGUUCUAACGUCAAUCUUUUCCAUGCAUGCCUUUGUGAACACGAAAGCUUUAGUUGGAGUGACAGUCGUUGUUACUACUCUUUAAGCUGACCUCAGUUCUUUUGAAUGUCUGAUCUUGUUGUUUUUGGAUUUAGAUCUUACCCUCUUUUGUGCCUCAACUUACUUGGUUAAAUGUAUCUCAGGAAGAGCUUUAUGAGCUUAUACUAUUAACAAACAAGGAAUGCAUAAAGCUUUGCAAACCUGGUGCUAGUAUACAGCACAUUCACGAAUGUGCGGUAAGUUUUGUGUACUUAUUCAUUCGAAGUCUAAUUGAUAUAUAGACAAUAGCAACAAAUCUGGUGCAGAAAGACCUCAUGAGGAAGUUAACAUAGUUUCUCUAUGGUUUAGUCUUUCUAAAGUUUUCCUUGCAAUAUGUUCGAUUUUUUCCAUUUUGGUCAGUUCUUCACUUGAUUAAGCAUCUCACUUUUUCAUAUAUUAACAAUGCCAUAUAAUCAUUGAACAAUUUCAUGGCCCUUCUCAUAUUUUUCAUGUUUGCAGACGAAAAUGCUUCGAGAAGGCUUCAAAGAGCUUGGCAUUUUGAAAAACUUGAAAAGUGAUGUUUUCCACCAUCUAAAUCCCACUUCUAUAGGUGAUUUUACCUCCUUGGGGAAAAAAUAACCCCUUUUCUUUUCAAUUGAAAGAAGCAUGCCACAUUUAAUUUUUUUUUUUGUGGUACAUGUUUCUUUUCAUCAACGUGUUAGUUUCCAGUUUCAGACACUUUCCUACUUUGUCCCCAUCAAUGACAUGAUAUCCAUUCUAAUUUGGCUACUUGAUCAACUUUCUUUUCCCUUUCGGGUUUCUUUGCUCAGGCCAUUACCUUGGAAUGGAUGUCCAUGAUUGCCCUAGGGUUGGUUAUGAUCGGCCGUUGAAGCCAGGUGUUGUAAGUUUCGUUCCUAUUCAUAUAUUUGGACAUGGACCCUUCUUUCUGUGUGCACAUGUUCGUCCCAUUUAGAGAUGUCUUUUCUUAAAAGGAAAAAUCGUUAAAUCAACCAUGUAUUGAUAUUUAGUUUUAGUAGUGUUGCAUUCAUUUGGAAUUCAAUUUCUAAGAGAUUCUUUGUUGUUUGCAGGUAAUAACAAUUGAACCGGGAGUUUACAUCCCAUCCAUUUUUCAAGGUCCACAGAGGUAAAAAUAAAAGCUUAUCAAGUAACAAAAAAUGAGCUAGUCCUUCAACAUAGUUUAUUAUUGUCGUUUUGUUUCCGGUGGAUAGGGAGUUUUCACGAUUAGAUUUGGAAAAGUAAAUUUGAUCACGAAGUUCUGUCUUGUUGCAACUUAUCCUUGUGUUAACAUUUAGAUUCUGCUUUUCAACUCUAUUUUUUUAAUUAUAUAUUUCUAAAAAUAUUUUGCUACAAUGUACUCUGCAGAUUUGCUGGUAUUGGGAUAAGGAUUGAAGAUGAAGUCCUUAUAACCGAAUCGGGUUACGAGGUAUGUAGUUCAAGUCCAAGUUUCUUAUGGAUGGUUCUGAAAGCUUUUGUUUAUUUAUUUUGAGGAGUGGACAAGUCUGGUCUGAUAGUUGAUUAAAGAGAAAUGUGGGGAAAAUUAGUCAUUCUCUAAUGAUGGUAGCGACUGCAAAAUGGGCUGUCGAAAUUCUAUAAACCUGUAACCUUUAGGCCAGAAAGUGAGCUUUAUGUUACAUCAUGUGCUAUACAACUGUCGUCCUCAGAUUGUCAAAGAGUCUUCCAUUUUCAUCAUGAAUUAGUGUGUAGUUUGGAUUUUGGAUUACGCGUUUCGCAGUUUGGUUAUAUCUUACAAUGGCUAGAUCUGAUAAAUCAAUUUGUUCUUCCUAGGAAUGAAUUAAUCAAUCCUACUUUCUUGCAUCAGGUCCUUACAGGCUCAAUCCCAAAAGAAAUAAAUCAGAUAGAGUCAUUGCUGAACAACUUCUGCUUUGGAUCUACAAUGCAUGGCCCAAAAUUUAUGAAAGCUUCAACCUGUUGAUCAUAUGUGGACUCUUUUUAGGCGUGACAUAUUUGAGAAUGGGAGACAAUGAUUUUAUCCAAAGUAUACUUGAGUCAGGAUUGUUCGGGAUGAUAGUUUGGUAUUUUUGAUGUGCAAAUGAGGCAUGCAAGCGCGAUGGUGAGACAAUGGGGAUGUGGAUUUUCUGUCACUAGUCUUAGCUUGAGUAUCGACGUUGAGAUGCGACCAUUGUUAUGAGUUGCACCGGUGGAGGAUUUCAGCUAGUGACAUCAAAAUUGACUAUAUCAUCUGUACUUUCUGUUUCAAAAGAAUUGCAAGGAGAGAACACAUUUUGGUUUCUUAGUAUUAGUUGUGGAGUCCUUGUCCAUUGGCAACUUGUGGUAAUCAUUGCACCGAAACGUCAUCGAAUUUAGUAGUAACUAAGCUCACUUGAUAAAGUGGCCAAAAAGAGGCACCACCACCAUCACCAUCAUCAUCCCCAUGAGGCUGCUAUUUUCACAUCACUUUCAUCUUGCUGUCAUUUCGUAUUCACCAUGGCAUAUGGGUCCGACUCGAUUCAAGCAUCGUUUGGAUCCCUUCAUCACAAUUUCCAUGAGGAAUAUAUUUUCAAUCACUAAUAUAAGUAGCCUUUUUGUACCAUCUAUAUACUUCAAUUCCAUUCAUGAUCAUGGACAGGUAGUUAGGAGGGUAGCAGUUGGUUGGUUUUUAGAUACAAUUCAUUUCAAUUUAAUUUUCCUUAGAUCCAAUGGCCUCAAUUUAAUUUUUGUAAGAAAUAAGCAGUAAUAUUUUGAAAUAAUGUUUGGUAGUUAUGGUGCAGCUUCCUGCUAUUGCUGCUUCCAUUUAUUGUGUUUUUGGUUAUGACUUCAAGGAUGCCAUCUCCUGAAUUUGUUGCCUAAAGAAAGUAUGGCACUCUCUUACUAUUGUUAACUCCUCCUUUGUAGAUUACUUUAAAAAUAUUAUCUUUUAAGUUUUUUAUUAUUCAAAUAAUAACAUUUGGUUUUCAUCAAUUUAUUAUUAAAAUUCAUAAAAAAAUCAAACACAAAACCAUUGAUUAUGAUUAUUGAAGUUAAAAUGCUAUUUGGUCUAAUUGUCCAAUUUUAGUCCAAGUUAAAUCCUAAAUCAAUUUUACAACCAUACAUCUUUGUUUAAUUAUUAUUAUUAUUUUCUUAAUUUGCUAUAUUUGCUCGUGUGUGUGAAUAUAUAAUAAUGGAACUUUAAUUUCCAUGAAAAUUAGAGAAAAUUAAAGGUGAAUAAAAAAAAAAAAAGAUGCAGAAAUUUAAACAUAAAAAAACCAUUAAUUAAUAUUAAUAAUUCAAAAUAACAACCAUAAUACUAAAAAUAAAAACUAUCAAAUUAGUUCCCAUCCUAAACUCUCCCAAAAUAAAUUACUAGAAAAAAAAAAAAAGGAAAACCUAACAAUUACCAUAGAAACGAUAUUGACUAGACAUUUCUGGAUAAGUUCUAAGAGCCGAAACUUUGUUAAUCUUAAAACAUAGGAUUUUGGCCCGAGGUUCUAACAAAAUUUCAUCUCCAUUCGUAUAGUUUAUUUUGUUGACGAAGUCUUGACCCCAACUAAUAACAAAUUGGUUAGCAUUGGAUAGCCUACUCAUGAUUGCUUUAAAAUAUUUGUGCGAAACCAUAUCGUACAUGUCGAUUUCUGCUUCCCCAUACAGUUCUGGAAAAUAGUUAAGAAGAAAACCCGCUUCAGUUAACAUUUCUUCAGCAUCCAAGCUUAGAUGCAAGAAAUUGCUUCCAUUUAGUGUCUCUGUAAUCGACCAGUUAGCCAUUGUUAUUAUUUUUUUCUCAUGUAUAAUACCAACUCUAUUCUCUGCCUAUAUAUACAUUUUAAUAUUUCCUUAAAUAAGGAUAGUAUAAAGAGAAAUGAUUAAGGAAAUAUUUUAUACACUUAUAAAGGGUAAUGUUUACUUAAAUAUAUUUCAUACACAAAUAUAGAACAUAUAUUUAGUUAGAAAAAAUACUUAUAAAAUCUCACAAAAUUAAUGUUGGUUUAUAGAAUCAAACAAGCUUUCCAUAAUAUAAUUAUUUCAAUCGAAAAAUAUAUAUGCCAUGAUAUAAACUACUUAAUUAUAUUAUUACUAAAACUUUGGAUUAGUAGAAUCGAAUAACAAUUAAUUGAACACAUGGCAUUGGCAUAAGCUGAAUGAGAAUAAUAUUUUGGAGAAUAUAAAAUUGAGGAACUUCUCAAUAUUUUAUUUCUUAUGAGAUUUUGCAAAAAUAUUUGCUUCCCCUUUUCUUUAUUAAUUUUUCAAAAGUAGUAAGGAAAAAAGUUGGAAUUUAUUUAAAAGAAAAUCCGAUUGUAAUAAUAUCUCAUAAAAGUGAUCAAUAUGAUUAUUUCAUACGUCCAUAUAAUUUUAAAAAAUAAUGUGAAAUCUACUACUAUUUAUAAACACAAAUAUUUUUAAGUGCUUAUAUAGAAACUAUGAUACUUGUUGUACUUAAUAUUUUUCAAGAAAUUAUUGAAAAAUAUCCAUUUAUUCCUUAAAAUAUUAAAAAUUAUAUCAAUUUAAGUCAUAAACUUUUCUAGAUUGUCGUUAUCAAAUUAAACGCUACUAAUCAUUGCUUAUUAUUUAGUUUAUUUAAUGAAUUAUUUAUGAUAUAACAAAUUUUUUAAUUCACACUAUGUAAACGUUCAAAUCUUUGGAUGCAUAGAAAUAUCAUGCUUUAAUCUUUGUAAUUAAUAAUAAAUUUAGGAAGGGUGCAUUUUUGUUAGUUCUCAUGUCUCUCUAAUUAACUUAAACUACAUUUAAGUUAAAGUUUAAGAAUGAAGCAUUUGACUACAACUCAUAAUAUAUAUAUAUAUAUAAUAUAUAUAUAUAUAACAAUAAGUUACUUUAAGGUAAUGAAAAUUCAAAUUAUGAUGUGACAUCAUUUAUUUAUAUGCUUUUUUUUCUUAAAUAGAGUGAUUGUUGAAAUUCAAUGUCAUUCACUAAUUUUUCUUAGACCUAAUGAAUGAUGGGGCAGCUAGUUGGUGGAUUAUUAUUAUUAGACGAAGAAUGAGUGGAAAAUAAAAUACCUAAAUUCAGCACCAAUUUCUUUCAAAUUUUGUAGGCCAAUAAAGCACUUCCUAUAUAACUAAUUCUAUAUCUAAUUAAUUAAUUUUCAAAAAAGAAAAAGUUUUUCUAAUUCUAUUGUUUUAUUAAUUAAAUUAAUAGGAUUUCGAUUAAUUUUGACCCUUAUUCUUUUAGAACGAAGAGCAAUUUGAAAAAGUAGAUUAACUAAACGAACAUGGGCUAAAAGAAGAAUGACAAAAUCACACGUUUUGAAAGUCUAUGAACGAACAUCAUAUUUUAAGGCUACGAUACCUAAUUUUGCAACCUCCAAAUCAAUGCAAACCGAAUGAGUGUGAAGUUAGAUAUUCAUUGACUUAAAAAACAAGUUUGUUUUAAUUGAUUUAAAUUCUAUUUUGAGUACAAUAAUUGAGAAUAAGAAGUAGAGACGGUGGUCAUACCAAUACCAAUACCAAUACCACUCAUACUCAUUAGGUUUUAAUAGAGUUAAAUUCAAACUAACUAUAUAAACAAGUUCAUUUUAACUGCGUUAAAUUCAAACUAUAUACACAAUCAAUCAAGGACAUGUUUGAGAGAUUUUUCGAGAUUGUUAAACUAGUUUUUUUUUUUUUGACAUAUUGAAAACUACUUCAAAAUAUGUCUUUAGUGAUUAAAAAACAACUUAAUAUUCGACUAAUGAAAAUCAAUUCUGAAGGGUAUAAAAUGAGACGUUCUCAAGUAAUUUUAACAAUUACAUAAUCACUCCAAAACAUACCAUAAAUAAAUCACGACCCCCAACGUAGUUAGAUGUAUAAUCAAAAUAUAUUUCCCAGUCUCCUAACCAUAAGCAUGCAUGACAGCAACAUUUUGACAAAUACCUCAGACAACUUAUCCAAUGUAAUUGAUUCACCUUUCACAUUAAACCUUGUGCUUCUAUACAUUAAAGUUUCCAACCAUACAACCACUUAUGGUUGGGAAUACAAAUAAACAACUAUAUAAAGUCCAACAUGCUCACUUUUCUUUCACAAUUAAAACAAGUGUGAUCAAACAAGGAAAGAAGCUCUAAACUCAUAAAAAAAAAAUGUCUCUAAUCACAGAAGAUAUCAAAGCCAAAGCUGAUGAGCUCUACUAUGGAGAUGAGAUGUGCCAAAUCAAAUCAAGGGAGCUGCUCAAAGAAAUGGAUCUUCCAAAUGGGCUGUUGCCAAUGAAAGAUAUGGAGGAAUGUGGGAUUGUGAAAGAGACGGGGUUUGUUUGGCUGAAGCAGAAGAAAAGCUACACUCAUAAGUUUAAAGACAUUGAUAGGUUGGUUACUUAUGGCACCGAAGUUACAGCCUAUGUGGAGAAAAACAAGGUUAAGAAGCUUACUGGAGUUAAGGCUAAGGAGCUCAUGAUUUGGCUCCCACUCUGUGACAUCUAUGUUAAUCAACCACCGAACGGGAAAAUCACGUUCAAGUCUACGACUGGACUGUCAAGAACUUUCCCCGUGUCAGCCUUUCAGGUUGAAGAAGAAGUCAAGGUUGUGGAAGAGAAGGAGAACAAAGAGAGGGAGAACAAAGAGAAGGAGAAAAAAGAGAAGGAAAACAAAGAGAAGGAAGUAGUGAACGGAGCAGUUGCAGCUGCAGCUAUUGAGGUGAAGGAGGUUUGAGUUUAUUUCUUUGAAGUUACAAGGGGCUCUCUCUUCCUCUUUAUUACUGGUUUGUUGUUGGCUCAAAUAUGUUAGCUAUAUGUUCUUUUUUUUCUUUUUUUUAUGUUGACAGUUUAUUUUAUUGAAUAAACAUUGGUAUGAAGUUUACUUACUGUAAUCGUGUUAAACAAAGCUUUAAAUGGCUUUUCUGGGCGGGGGAGGGAGAUGGAUGACUUUUAGCGAAUGGAAAUGUAUUAUUGUCAAAUAAUUUACACAUAAGAUGUUCAAGGAGAGCCCACAGAUCAAUAUUCAGGCUCUCUCUCAGUUCUAAAAAAAUCUAUUGCCAAUCAACUAUAAUUAAUUGGCUGACAGUAUCAGCAUAUUUGUCUCUUGCUUGCAAAACAAACAGAGAUUCUGCUAUCCUCUAGAACUAUGAACUAACUCUUUAAUUUAAUUGCUAUAACCUAUUGACUUAUAGCUGUACAGUAAAGUGCAAAGGUAUUCUCAUUCCUCAAGAAUGGAGUUACCUUAAACAAGGAUCUGUGAGCGAGCAGCACCGCGAGAGCAUUUCUUCCUGCCCGUCUUGCUAAGUGCACAAACACAUAUCUCAAGUAGCUCAUAAUCCUCUUCCCAGAAUAAGGAUGAUGCAAGCUCUGGAUUCUCAACCAGCAUUUUUGAUGUCAGGAACCCAGCAAUUGUCCAGGUUUGAUAGAGUCGGGAUUGCUUUCCAAUGAACUUUCCAGUACGAGUGUCGUAAUACUCGGGCCAGCGAUCAUUUGAAAUCCUCUUCUCAGCCACAGCAACUGCUUUCUUGGCCAUUUCAAAUCUGCCCAUCUUGAUGCAUGCCAAAGUGAACUGCAAAAUAUUUGACUUAAAAUUGUUAUAUAUGAAACUAUUAGACCGGUCCCCACUAGUGGACUACAAGGCAAUUACUUAAUUCAAUAAACAAAAAAAGGAGCGAUUCCGAAACGUCUAUUCACGAAAAGCAAUGAGUGAAGGACCAAUCUCACUGCUAUCAUCAUUUUUAUGUUACCUGCCAAAGAAGUGUUGGCCAGGAUCCACCGUUAUGAUAUGACCAUGGACUGAAAAGAGUCAAAAAGAUAAAUGGAAAUGAGCAUCAACAAAUCACAGGAACAAUUUUCUUUAUAGGAAUAAAGUAGAUCUAGAUACUCUACGGAGAAGGAUAAUGCAAGGCAGAGAAUUAGAACAUAAUACAUAUUACAUAUAAUGGAUAAAACUCACGUAUUUUUGGGGUCGCUGCCAGUGAUUAUGCGCCAUUCCUCAUACUCCAGAGCAGGGUAACAUAUCUUAAGAGGCAUAUGACCCACAAGAUCACCCCAUUUAGCUUCAAUAAGAUUUAGAAUAGCUUCAUUUUGCUUUGGUGUACCCAAAGAUGAAACAAUAGACCAAAGAUUUCCAAGUGUGAAAAACCUAAAAUCCAUAUGAGCUGGUUGGAGAUUGCCUAUCAAAUAACCUCCUUCCUCUGGUACCCAGUCCAUUAGCCACUGAGGGAUUUGGUCAGGAUAGAUGUUGAAUUUGUUUGUAGCAUCCAUGGAGUAUUCUUCUGUCUUAUAGCGAUAAAUCUCAUUAAUCUUCUUCAUAUCAACCCAGUAAUAUUCUCUGAUGUGGAACGAUAGUGCACUGAGUCGAUUGUUAAUGGCCCUCACUAAGUUCUUGGAUCCAUCAUUCACAGUGAGCAUUUCACGAGAGCAUCUUAAAGCUGAAUAAAAUAAGGCCUGCAUAAUCGAACUUGUUAUGAUGGAUGCACAUGACAAAACUUAAAUGAAAAAAGGCAAAAUGUCCACACAUGGUUAAUAUGAAACUGGAAUAAUAGGGAUAGGAUAAAAGAAGAGUUUCAUCUGAUGGAUUGGAUGCUUUAAGAAGCAAUAAGCAUGCAAUGUAAUGCAACAGAAGCAGCAUCAAGAACUGAAGGUGAAUCCAGGGUGAAAUUCAAAUUCUUUUAGGCAAUAAGUUAAAUGAAGCGUGCAGUUUGUCUAAGUACCAUUGAAACUCACUUGGAUCUCAAGGGGAUGACCAUGAAUACCCAUUCGACGAUCAAUCAUGCAGGAGCCAUCAGUAACCAACAGGGAAGGAAACAUAUCAAACCCAUCUGUUAGACAGAGGUUAAGUAUCAUUUUCAACCCUGUUUGGACAUCCACCCGAUCUUGUAGAGCAUAAUCCCCAGUAAUUUUUCCAUAAGCCCUUAGAAGAAUGAUCCACCACAAUCCUAUCAAAGAAGAGAGGAAAAAAAAUUAAUUUCAAAUGUUUCUAUUUAGAGUAGUUUCUAAAAAGGAGAAAAAAUUGGCUUCAUGAAUCAGAAAAAUAGUUCUCCUAAUCGAUACUUGACUCAAAUAGGUUAUACCUCAAAACAUCGUCAGAAGGAGUUAUAAGCUAAAUUAAAAUGAAUUGAAGUGUAACCCUGACUGCUGAUGACAAACAGACAAGAACAAAGUAAUCGUAGUAACCUGAAUCUACUGGUGCCACACGGCCAAUAGCUGAUUCUCCAAAGUCAGGAUCUAAGACUUCCUCAAAGUUAUUGCCGUCAAGGGGAACAGUUCUGACUUUAAAGCUUGCUGGCAUCAAGCCCUGUCCUGGGCUAUAACAAUCAACUGUUUUCUCCCAGCUCUGAAAAAAUAAGUGUCUUUUCUAAGCUUCAUACAAUACAAAGUAGCAAUAUAGGAAUCUCUUUUGAAUCAAUCUAACUCCAGAUACAAAAUUUGUUAUGAAACAGUAACACUUUGUGUCAAUUGAACAAUCAUAAGCAAUAAACAAAAGAUCGUCGACUGACAAGAAAAAUUUCUCAAACUAAAAUUACACACUCAAGCCAGAACAAUACCUCUGAGAUAGAAAUGAUAUCUCACAUGCAAGUACAUCCUUAAAUUUAAAAUUUAAGUUAUAUCCUUUGUGCCCGAGGACUCGAUACACAUUUUAUAAUUCUUCUAUGCAGCUGCAGAACACUUGGCUAAAACCAUGAAUGCUACUAAUAUUUUGGUUGAAAAUGUUGGUUAAAUGGUCAAUGGAAUCCCAUAUCAUAAAUACCCACAUAGAGUGAGUGAGAUCGAAUAAUUUACUAAAAAUGAUCAAAAUUUAACACAUUUAUGUAAGAACUAGCAGUUGUAGGGUAUGGAGAAGAAAUUUUCCUAAUCAUUAAGAAGUUGGAAGAUUCUAAAAAGUAGGGAGAUUCUAAAAACGUUACAUAAACAUUAAGAACAACCAAAUCAGACAAAUAAGUAAAAGAGAUAAAUAACAAAAGCCAUGAAGAGCAAGGAAAAAGGUACCUGCAACUGUAAGGUAUGAAGGAGAAAGUUCCUCACAAUCUCCCCCUCGCCGUUCAGCAGGAACGCAAGGGCAGAAGGAAUGAAAUCUCGAAUAAAGACCUGGUCAUAAUUCAAUGGUUGCUUAUCAGCCGGAUCAUUUGCAGCCAUAGUCCCAACCGGACUUCCACAAUAUGUCACAACAGCUUCACGCAACAAUCUCCAGGCCUCUUUCUCAAUAUCAGACUCCUCUCUCUUGGAAGUAAUAACCUUAGCUUUGUUCAAAUCCUCUAAGUUUUCGCCAUUUACAUGUUCACUACCAACUUCUAUUCUAGAAUCUUCUUCUCCUACAAUAUUCUCAUCCUUGUCAAUCUUUUCAACAACCAAAGGCUUCGCAUUCAAACCACCUUGAACGUAUAUCCUCUCGAAGUUGUUAUCAUUCACACGGGUUUCAAUCGACGUCGAAAAAUCACGAACUUUUGAGGCAAUUCUAGCAAUUAUAGACACACCGCUUUUGGUUUCAGGGAAAAUACUAUAACUACAAGGCCUUGUUAUUACCCUGGAUUGGCCAUAAGUCAAUCUAGCCAUAGAACAAUUCUGGGUCCCUUUCAAAAACCGUUGAGACCUCGAGAAAUGAAAAGGGUGAGAAGUAUAACGACCAUUAGAAUGAAAUUUGAAGCUAAAGUUCAAACAAGAAUUAUGGGGCGAAGUAUAUGAGGAUUUUACAGGUGAGAACCCAAAAAACCCUGAAUUCCUACAACUAAUUAGAAGCCUACAAGAAGCCUUCAUCGUCGAAUUAUCAAGCAAAGCAAUCAUAUUCAAAACAAUGAAUCAGAACAAAAAGAAACCAGAGAAAAUCAAAUCAGUGAAAAGUGGAUAAGAUUCAAGAAUUUUACGUGUAACAGUCGUGCGGCGAAUUACAGAGAAAUUUUUUAAAGGGAAACUUGAGAUUGAUUGAUUGAUUGAAGAAGAAUGGUAUCUGAAAUUGAAGAAGCAAAUGAUUGGUAUGGGAAAAACGUUAACUGGGUUUCAUUUUAUAGAUGCAAUUAACGAGAAAAAGGUAGGUAAAGUUGUCUAAUUGGUGGAUUAAGUGGUGGGUUUUUUUCCUCUCAAAUUAGAAAAGUUUUCAAGUUUAAUUUUGAGAUUUUAAACAAAUCUAUAAUCCUUCUUUUAAGGGAAUUGUUGGAUUCUUCUCAAGUGGAAAUGAAUAACUCAAGUUUUUGCCUUUAGAUUUUCCGCCUCCUUUAGUUCUCUCUCUUAUUUGGGCCAAUAUUUAGCAAAAUUGCCUUUAAAAGGCAAAAGUAUUUAUGGAACUUUACAUUUAUAUUUUACUUAUCCAUUUUAACAUUAAAUACCUAAAAUAUUUUAGAUCUGUAAUUAUUUUAAAUAGUAAGAUAUCUUGAUAUCUAAAUAUUAUAUUCUCGAGCAUCUUAGAACGUCCGAAAUAGAGGACAUCUUAAAAGUUUUUGAUGCCCUCUUGAAACACGGCCACACACACGUACUAAGACGUUGAUAAUUUUUCUACAUCAAAAGUGAUAAUCUAGAGAUGUCAAACACCCAUAGGAACCAACAAUGGUAAAUUUUACAUGUGGCACCCUCUUUAUGUGUGGAUUUUCUAUUGCAACAAAUUAGAUAUUUUUAUGAACUAGAACAUUACUUGUUAUGUAAACGUGUAUUUUAAUAUAAUAUAUGAGGUUCAUAUAUUUAAGUAAAUUGUGCAGAAGAGCAAUGUUGAGAAUAAGUGGAUAUUAUUCUUUGGAUUUUUCCUAAAAAUUGCUACUGCUUUCCAUUCCAAUAAGGAUACGAGAGGACUGAAUUUGGAUGUCCAUUUUUAAUAGCUUUUCAAUUUAAAGUAUUCCUACAAUACUCAGCUUUACAUGUUCUCGUUCUAUAGCUAUUUUCCUUCCAUUUUUGUUGGAUGAUCUUGUUGUUUACGUUGCUGUCAUGAGAAAAAAAAAUCAUUUUAGUGACAUAUAUUCGGUACCAGGUUUGGAUUCUGAAAAAAAAAAAGAGAACUCAUCUUAAUCUUUUCUAGAGCACGAUGGUUUUGUUAAAGUUCUCAACCAUUUCUUGAAUUUUUUUUUUUUUGAGAUUAAUGUUAUAUUGUUUUUCUGAAUAUACUCAUGUUGAGAUGGUUCCAUGCUGAUAACUUAGCCAUGUGUGAAUGAAGCCUUGGGAUUGCAAGUUGUUCAGUUUGCUUGUUUUCAGGUAUGGUGUGGAUUUACAUCAAUCCUUUAAGCAAUAAUACAUUUUGCUCUCCCUUCAUUUUCAUUUCUUGUUAUGCAAAUCAAGCACCCUCUAGAAUCAAUCUCAACAACUAAAGCAUAUCAUAGAGAGGAGAUAAAUUUUGAUAUUACUUCACAGAGAGCCGAAUCUAAAUCCCCGAAAAGGCUCCCUCUGUGUCUAUAUAUUCUUCGAUUCUAUUUAGAUUCCAAACCAUAGAUAUUAAGGAGGUGUUUGUUGGACUAUAAUGAAAUAGGAAUGUAAUCUAAUGAAAUCAAAACUCAUAUUUGGAUUCAUUCUCAUUGUUUUUAAUCCAAACCUUGUUUUCAAAAGUUUUCACACUUCACAUAUUCGUUCCUCGUGCAUUCCAACAUCUUUCUGAUUUCAAGUAAUCUACUUCAUCACAUUCUAGCUCUUUAAACAGCUCCUAAAAAGGUACUUCAUCUUCAAGAAAGACUAGUCUCUACUAGAAAAUCUAGUAAAAUCCCAGACACACUCUUAACCAACAUACACACUUGGAAAAAGGCGAACUGAUCAUAAUCUAUUAAUCCUUGUCCGAUCUAGCGAAGCUAGGAACUGAACUUCACUACACUGAGAGAGGGGGAGACAUUGCAUUUGAUGGUCCAAAUCAAUCCAUUUUGUACCCAAUAAUUUCCCUUAGAGAUGUUGGAUUUGGGGAUAGAAAGUAUGUGGAGAAGCUAGAACGACAGACGAUGGCAUGUUUGUAUGGAGUGAAAGCUAGAGCUGGGGAGAAAGGGGAAACGGGAGUUUGGGUUGGAGAUAGGAAAAUUGGAGCCAUUGGAGUUAGAAUUUCAAAUGGGGUUACUUCUCAUGGUUUAGCUUUUAAUGUGGAUCCUGAUUUGAUGUCUUUUAAUUAAGCAUAUUGUGCCCUUGUGGGAUUGUUGAUAUAAAGAUGUAACAUAGUUGAGAAAAGAGACUAAGGAAGUGCUUCCUAGUGAAGAAGUUUUGGAAGAACAGUUGAUUUCUUGUUUUGUUAAGUUAUUUGGUUAUUGUAAAACUGAGGUGGAGAAGAUUCCUUUAACUGAAUUAGAUUUUAGUUGUUAUAAACCAAUUAUACUUUUGUUAAGUUUUGUUAAUCCCUCCUACUCACUCCCAUUAUAAACUCAAGUUUUCUCCUAAAACUGAUUCUCAAUCUAUUGUUACUGCUGCAACAUCUGAUAUAACUGCACCCCUAAUCAUGUGAGUGACCAUUAAAUCAAACUCUCCCUCCACACUUGCUAAUUACAUAUUCCAUUACAUACCCAUAAAAGAAAUUUUUUUAAUUCUUAUAGUGAAUACCAACUAAUUAGGAAGGUAUUUAAGAAAAAUGGAAGGAAAUAGAUGGACAGAAAUGGAAGUAUUGUUGAGAAUGAAUUAAUUACAAUGGAUAUGAUCCAAUCCAAUUAAUAUUUAUACCAGUCAUUUUUUUAAUUGUCUUGUGUUUGUGAUAUAAAAGAUGAUAUUGGAUAUAAAUAUAUAUUUUAGUUCAGAUUUCUUUCUUUUAAUAUAAAUAAACUCAAGUUAGGAAUAUGUCAAUUCAAACAUAUAUAGGUGAAAGUGGACAAAUAAUUAAUUAUCAUUUCAAAUGUUUAUAGUUUUAUUUGAAGAAUCCAAAAAUAGAAGAUGUUUGAAAAAAUUUGAAGAAAAUAAAUGAAAAAAUUAAAAGUGAGGGUUUAAUUGAAAAACAUGAAGCAAUCAAAUAACAAAGAUGUCCUAUAAAUUCAACACUCUCUUUUCUUUCACUUUGCCAGAAUUCAAAUAUGACUUCUUCAACAUAUUUUUUGUCAUCUCAAUUGUGGCUUACCUUGUUCAUCGUUUUGAUCGCCGUUUUUCAGUUGGCUAUAGCAGCUGAUAGUGGAACUGAAGAUAAAAUCAAGAGAAUAUGUCGUCAGAUGGAAGAGUUUGAGUUUUGCAGCCAAACCUUCCAUCAGAAUUUGAAAGGUGGUUCAGCAGACUAUAUAGGACUAACUGAAAUAGCAAACAAUCAAGUGUAUACGAAGGCAUCCAGUACACUUGUUUACAUUGAACAACUUUUGAGAAGCGUAAGUGAUCCAACAACAAGGAAGGCGUUACUAGUGUGUGAAAAUGGAUAUUAUGCAGUAAAUGAAGCAUUUGUAGAAGGGAUCCGGUGGUUCUCACAAAAAUAUUACAAGGAAAUGUUGAAUGUUGAGAGGAGAGCACCAAGCGCACAAGCAAGUUGUACUUCGAUAUUCACCACUACACCACCACCCAAACAAAACCCACUUUUUCAAAUUAAUAGAGAGAUGAGAAUUCUCAUUGCUAUGGCUAUAGUAUCUGGCUCUAGCAUUAGUUAAUUUUAAAUUCAUAUCAAUUUAUUAAUUUGGCAAAAUACUAUUUUUUGUCUCUAUACUUUGAUAUUGUUCAAGUGUUAUCAAUAUUUCUCUACUCAACUAUUUUAGGUUGAUUUAGUGCUAACAAAACAGUCAUGUGAGCUUGCUAAAAGGGUUUUGAGUGAAUGAGUUUACCAAAUUUAUUGAUUGUCUCCUUGAUUUGAUAUUAAGGGAUUUAUAUCUAAAAAUCAAAUUUUAAUGAAAGGAGUAGUUUGUCUAUCUUAUAUAAGAAGUUUGUAAGGAAAUCGGUACAUGUUAAUUAAAGAAAAGAAAAAGUAAAAAACUCUUAGUCUCUUCUUCUUUCCUUGUGUGAACCACCAGCUCUCCCAGCUUUGGUUCUCUUUCUCUCUUCUCUCUGUCAUCCGCACACUCAAUGAUCAUUAGCUCAAGGUUGGGAUAUUACAUAAAUGUACCAUAACCAAAAUGAACUAAUUAAAGCAACGAAACAAGAUAUAAAAAAAUUUCUCUAGGCCAGAACUUGAUUGUGAGGGGCAUCCUUAGAACAUUAUCUUGUAGGACAAGAUUAUGAAUAUCAUGACCACCAACAUUUUCAUGGAAUCACACUUAAAAUAUAGAUGAGUUAGUGACUAACUAACAAGUUUAUAGUUCCAAUCUUUAUUAAAUACUUCGAAAUUCGAAAAUCUAACUGAGUACUUUGAUCACUUCUUUGGAAAAUAUAUGGAAAAAGAACCAAGUCUAUUGAAAGUUGGAUAUAUUCUGGUAUAUAUCUCUGUUUUGCAGCAAACAAAUAUUGGAUAAUCAACAACCCUAUACUUUCAAAAGAUUUUCCAUUUAAUGUGAUGAAAUGAAUUUUUUUAGACAUAAAACCAAUAUAGAAAUUAAAUGAGGAUUUGGAAUUAUGACAUUGCAUGGUAAAGGUUAUAUUGAUGUACUUUACCUAGAAUUUGAGUUAAUAUAAUUUAGAGAAAAACUUGUAAGAGUUAAACUUAAUUUACUAGCAAAUGCUUACUUAGCUCAACGCGAUAAUCACUUUCGAUCGUUGUGCUAUAAAAUCUUACAUUUAAUUGAUAAAAUCAAGUAUCUAUAUCUUAACUCCCACGACCAUACAUACAUAUGUAUAAUUGCUUUUACAACCCUAACUUGAUCAUAAGUUUACAAUUAGGAAGGUGUUUAAGAAAAAUGGAAUUAAGGAAAUGGAUGGACAGAAGUGGAAGUGUUGUUGAAUAAAAUGAAUUGAUUACCAUUACUAGACAUGAUCCAAUCCAAUACUAUAAUCAUUUUAAUUUAUUUUUUUUGUUCAAGAUCCAUUGUUUUGUGGUUAAUCAUAUAAAAAGUGAUAUUCAAUAUAAAUAUUUUACUUGAGAUUUCUUUUUUUUGUUUUUAAUAUAAAUGAAUCCAAUUUAGGAAUGUGUCAAUUCAAACAUACAUAUAUACUAAAGUAGACAAGUGAUUGAUUACCAUUAAAGAAUCCAAAAUUAGAAGAUGUUUGAAAAGAAUGGAUGAAAAUAAAUGGAAAAAAAUGAGGGUGUCAUUGAAAAACACGAGUCAAUUUACAAAGAGAUCCUAUAAAUUCAACACUCUUUUUCCUUUCACUUUGCCCAAAUUCAAAUAUGACUUUAUCAACAUGUUUUUUGUCUUCUCAAUUGUGGGUUACCUUGUUCAUCGUUCUGGUCACCGUUUUUCAGUCGACUAUGGCAGCUGAUAGUGGAACUGAAGAUAAAAUCAAUAGAAUAUGUCGUCAGGUGGAAGAAUUUGAGUUUUGCAGCCAAACCUUCCAUCAGAAUUUGAAAAGUGGUUCAGCAGACUAUAUUGGACUAACUGAAAUAGCAAACAAUCAAGUGUACACGAAGGCAUCUAGUACACUUGUUUACAUUGAACAACUUUUGAGAAGCGUAAGUGAUCCAACAACAAAGAAAGCGUUACUAGUGUGUGAAAAUGGAUAUUAUGCAGUAAAUGAAGCGUUUGUAGAAGGGAUCCGAUGGUUCUCACAAAAAUAUUACAAGGAAAUGUUGAAUGUUGAGAGGAAAGCACCAAGCGCACAAGCAAGUUGUACUUCGAUAUUCAGCACUACACCACCACCCAAACAAAACCCACUUUUUCAAAUUAAUAGGGAUAUGAGAAUUCUCAUUGCUAUGGCUAUAGCAUCUGGCUCUAGCAUUAGUUGAUUUUAAAUUCAUAAAAGCUUGUGUGUUGUUUUAUGAUGUAAUAAUCCAUUUGAUGAUCAUUUGGGGAGCACACUUUAACACAGAUCUUCAAUUGAUUUUUCAAAAAUUAAAAUGGAGUUUAUAUUAUUCAAUUUUUAUCAUUGUUAUUUCUCUACUUAACUAUUUUAGGCUGAGGUAGUGCUUAAAAAAUAGUCACCACUCUACUAAAUAGUUUUGAGCGAAUUUGGUCAAAUAUACUAAUACAUAUCAAUUUAUUACGUUGAAUUAUGUUUACUUUGGUAAAAUACUAUCUUUUUCUCUAUACUUUGAAUUUUAAUUCACUUCGAUCCAUGCAUUGUUAACUUUGAUUCGUGCACAUUCAAUUUUUGCAUCAAUUUGCUCAUUGUGCUUCAGAAUGUUUGUUUUGGUCUAUAUACUUUAAAAGUAAUCAUUUUGAUCACUUUAUACCCAAUUAAAACUCCUUGAUACAAAUAUUUAUGACUAUAUUUUAAGAAAUUUAGAAUGGGUAAUUACACUAGAUAACAAUUUUUAGAAUAAUUAUUAAGUAUGUAGCAAUUUUGUUAUAUACUUAAUUAUUUUGGUUAUAAUUGCUAUAUUUGCAACUUUUGAAUUGUAAUAAACUCUAGGAGAUGGAUCUAUAUUAUAUUACAAUUGUAAAUCAAAUCCAAUUUUUGAAUCUAACGGUUAUAUUUGUAACUAUUUUUCCUAAAUCUCUCCCUACCUCAAAUUAGAAACCAAAGCAACUCUAAACGUUAUAUAUACUUGGUCGUUUUAAGUACAAAAGCUCAAUGUUGUUUUAAACUUUUUCUAAGAAACUAAAAUGGACACUUUCGAGUUUUAAGAACGAAAUGCUUUAUUACUAUUUUAACUAGAAUAUAAGAGUAGUCAUUCAUGGGGAUUGUUGGAAAUGACUAUCAAUGUAUUAGUUAUAAUUGAAAAUUAAUUAUAAUUAUUAUUAUUAUUUUGUUGUUCUAAAAUCAAUAUACUUUAUAUAUAUAUAUAUAUAUAUAUAUAUUAGGGUAUUUUGAUGUCGUAGAGCUCUCUCUUCUUCAAAGGAAAAACCUAGGUUUCUUUCUCUCGGAGCAAAAAAAUUUCUUCUGAUUCUAUUUUGACUCCCACAAGUGCACACAUGAGUAGAAAGUUGUGUUAACCUUGAAGAACAAUCGACAUAUGCAAUUUCGCACUGAGGUUGCGCUGAAUUUUGGUUUCAAGACAGUGGUUCGACACGACACAACAAUGAUCAAUUUUGUUUUUCAACACUUAAAGUAGUUUUUGUAUGUUCAUUUCUUAGCUAUGGAAUUCUUAACAAAGAAUUCAAAAACAGAAGUUAAAAAGUUAAAGCAAAAACACAUUUGGCCAAACCAAAACAGACAAGUAUAAAUUAGCCAAAGAAGAAAAACUAUAUUGUUUUAUUAAAGAGGAUCUCAAACCUCUAACCUUUAAAAGAAGUUUUCACAGUCAACAAAUUGAAUUGGGUUAGUAGGAAAUGUAAAAUGUGAAUAAGUAGAAAAAGUUCUUUGAACUCAAUGACACAAUUGUACAACCUAAAGAACAGACUUGUCGAAGUAAGGUCGUAAAGCAGGUAAGACUCUAGUCUAGUCAUAUCUAAAAUGAAGGAGGUAUACAGCUUUCCCAUUGUUGUUUCUCAAGAGUUUAACUUGCAUGUAUCCCAUGUGGCUAUUUUUCCAAGAAGGAUCCUUAACUUUUUCCCUGUAAUGUACUUGAAGGAAAGAAAGUGGCAUCCCACAAAGCACAAUCAGUUACUUUUUCUCCCAAACUUAUUAUUUAAACAGCUUUUUCUAAGUUUCCAAAGAAAGCCACUGCUCAUACAAUCUGUUCUUUUAAGAAACCAACAAUGAAUUGCUGUCUAAAUCUUACCUCUUUCAUCCCAGCUCUUCUUUUGGCAGCUUUUUCCCUAACCGUUUUCCCUUCUCAUGGAAUCCCCCAUGAAAAUCUGGUCACCAUUUGCUCUAAAACCUCCAAUCCGUCGCUCUGUGAGAAAAUCCUUAAUAAUGAUUCCCGUACCGUCUCGGCCAACCUCCCUAAGCUCUCACUUAUAUGCAGCAAUCUGGCCAAGAAACAAGCAGAUCAAAACCUUGAUACCUUCUACAAACUAAGUAAGAAUGAGAGUGAUCCCGAGGAGAAGAAAAGUUUUGAGCAUUGUGUGAAGUAUUACCAUGAAAUUCAAUCAAAUAUCCAAAAAGCUUAUCAGUUCUCACAGCAGAAGAUCUUCAGAGAGAAUGGUCCAUUGGUGGCAUCAAAGAGACUUGUUCUAAAGUGUAGUCAAGCCAUUAGAAUCAAUUCAUUGUAUAUUGAAGUCAUGAACAAACUUAUGAUCCUAUGUUGUGAUAUUUCAAUAAGCGUAAAUCAAUGUGCUGCUGCUAAUGGUCACCAUUCAGUAAAUGUUUGAUAAAAGCAAUAAGUAAUGAAACAAUGAACAUUACUUAUUGUUCUUAUUGUUUUGUUUGAGUUUGUCUGUUGAAUAUGAACUAAAUAAGUUUGUUAGUUGAAUUUUUCUUCUACGUAAUGUUUUGAUUUAUCCCUAGACUAAGAAAAGUAAAUGAUGAAAGAGAUAAAUUGAAAAAUUUUGUAAUUAUAUGGAAAAGAAAUGUGAAUCGUGGAAGUUUUAGAAAAAGAGUAUAACAUGCAAGGAAGAAAUUUGAAUUCUUGAAUGUACCACUAUAGCAUGCAAGAUCAGAUUUGUUUCUCUCAACUUGUAAUUUCCAAAACGAUAUGCAAAAAGAUCUACUAUAGCUAAGUAUAAACCAACAAACAAUUAAUAUAUAUCUUCCUUUUUACUUUAAUUUGAGUUAUUUGAACUGAAAUCACCAACCAGAAAAUCAAGAGAAAAUGUAUAAGAAUGCAUGCCAAGAUUGUGCAUAAAAUAGCAGCACAAUAGCAGCACAAAGUAUCCUAUAAAAGCUACUCUCACCUUAUUCUGCUUUUGUCAGAAUUCCAAACAUUAGCACCCAAGUAAGAAUCGCUUUCUCAUAUUCUUCAUAACUGCUAACCUUCUUCCUCACUCUCUUCAUUGUUCAUCCAGCUUUGGGUGACCCGGCAACACAGCAGCAGAUAAAUCGAAUAUGCCAUCAAAAUGAGGAUUAUGGGUUUUGCAAUAAAACCUUCAAUGAAAAUCUGAAAGGUCCAGCAGAUGAUGUUGGUUUGGUCUUGAUAGCAAAUAACCAAGUGCUGAGAAACACUUCCAGGACCUCAGUUCAUUGUUGAACUUCAGGCCAGCACUGAUGAUACAGUAACGAAAGCUGCUCUCAAGACUUGCAGAAUCGGUUGAAGCCAGGUCAGGCAGGCAUUGGUGCAGGCAAUUUCUUACUUCAAUCAGAAAGACUAUGCCAAUAUGGUCGAGGCUGAAUGAGCAGCACCAAGAGAAGAGGCUUCCUGUAGACCACCAACACCAGAUAGCCCAUUGGUCGAGAGGAAGAGGGACUUGAGAAUCCUCAUUGCAAUGGAUGCGGUCGCAGGUCAUGUUCUUGCCACUUGAUCUAUUCGCUCAUCCCUGCCAGACUUAAGUGCACACAGCCUCAUUACACAACUAUGUUAUAGUGUAAUGUACGUAGAUAAGAAUAUAUUUGUAUGGUAGUAUUAAAGCGGUAUAGGGGUAAUUUGGUAGGAAGUUAGUUACGGAGUCUUGUUAUAAAGAUAGGAUGAGUGAGAAAAGGUAGACAACUUUUUAGUGAUCUAGAGCUUGAGUUGGUGUGCUCGAGGGUGGUUUAUCUUGUAUUUCUUCAUAGUUAUAUUUCAACGAUGAACAUCAUGAAGUUGAUGCUUUCAUUCAUCUAAAUUGGUCGAAGUAAAAUGUAAGUACUUUGGCUGCUUAAAUUAACCAUAUCCCAAAAGCUUAUAACAUUGCUCUGUCAUUUAACUGGAUCCACAUCUGUAUACAUGACAAAAAAUGGGCAUAAAACUAACCCCGACUUCCUGAUGAACAACACUGAAAAGAAACAUUCUAUUUCCACCAAAUCUCACAUGAAUCACUAGGAACGGAGUACAUUUAGCAUUAAGGAUGGUAAAUUAUCAAGUAUUCUGCACAAUGAUAUCAUGAGCCUUUCUUUCUUGAAUUUAAUACUGACAAAAUGAAGGAUAUCCUAAGCUCAUCGGCCAAGCAAAGCAACACGAUCUUUUUGCACUGCCUGCGCUAGGUUGAUGUCAAAGAGCUCGCACCGUAUAGGCAUCUCCAUCUCGUAGAAUGGAUUCUUCAAUACAAAAUCUGUGUAUAGUUCAUAAAUGUACUUCAGAAGACUCUCCAUGUGCUGAGUCCCAGGUUCACACACAACAAAAAACUUUGUCCCUGCAACAGACAAUUUCCAUCCAUGAUUCUGGUUCUUUAUAAAGUUAAUGCCGUGACACUUUGCAGAGAUAAAAAAAAUUUGAACAAGGAAAUAUAAAAUUAUACUUCGGAACAAGCAUUUCUAUUUCUUAUGUAGGUUGGUUGAUAAUGAAAAAUUUAUUAAUUCUUCACACCAAAAGCCAUUCAUAUCCAUAUCAAAACAAUCUUUAAAUCUCCUCCCCCUAUGCAAGUAGCAAAGUGUAAUGACAAAAGAUUAAACAUGAACAGUUACAGAGUCGAGAUUUCAAAAAACUAAUUUUGUGGUUUCUGUUGACCACAUGCUAAUUUUUUCCUCCAAAAGUUUGACAACACAAAAAUAUUUGCGAAGGAGACUACGGUAUAUUAGUAUGGCUAUUAAAAGCUACACUUUUCUAAUAAAGGAUUAAUGUCAUUUCUAACUAUCUGAGUACAACUCAACUAAUCAAGACAUAAUAAUCUCAACCAAAAUUUAUGUUUUAAUCCCCACUCUCAUACAUUCUUAUACUUGAAACAAUAAACUGAACAAAGAUCAAUUUCAAUAACCAAAAUUUAUAUUUGAAUCCCCACACUCAUAUCUAUGGAGACUAUAGCAUGGCUAUAAAGAAAAAGGCUACAUUUUUCAACUAGAGCAUCAAUAUCAUUUUUACAAUCAAGCAAAACUCAACCAAUCAGGCACAAUAAUUUCAACCAAAAGUUAUGUUUGAAUCCCCAUCCUCAUAAGUUCUCGAGCUCAACAAGAAACUUAACAAAGAUCAAUAACGUUUCUAGAACUUCAGCUGUGCUUUCCCACUCUGGGAUUCACUUAACUGCUUAUCUAUGGAAUCACAGAAUGUGAGGCAGAAACCAUGUGUUUGAGGCAAAAAAAGUAAACAAAAUACAGGAAGGAAAAACGUACCAGUGAGUGACUGGAAGCAAUGGAGAUCGAAAGUGUCAGCUUCAAGAAGUUCAACACCCGAACAACCAGCUAUAGGCGAAAGCUGCUGGGAAAUGGCAUGCAUAGAAUGCCACAAACUCGCCACUCUCAAACUGUCAUUCGUAUCCAUUCGUCCAGCAGACCCAUAAUCCUAAAUUUUAAAACAAACCCAAUAAGAGGUUCAAGCCAUACAGAAUACCCAGAACCGAAUUAUAUAUCUUUGUAAUAUGAGAUGAAAAAACUGAAAUCUGGGGUUCCCAGAAACGAAAUAAAGCUUAAAAAAUCUCAACCCAGGUGGAAAUGAAGGGAAAUUUGUGUUUCCAAUUGCGUGAACAAGUAGUUUGAAUAGGUUGAUUACCUUGUAGAAGAUCAAACCACCAGAUUUAUUGAUGAUGUAGAGGCUGUAAAUCGCUGCCAUCGUCUUUAGAUCUAUCCAAAAUUUGAAGAAUUAUGAAGGAAAUGAGAAUAAAAAUAAAUAUGGGUGUGGAUAGGGAUUAAGUGUGGGUAAGAACGUAGAUUGGAAGGCGCAAAAUCCAGUUCAGUGAACGCCGAUCUUAAGGCGGAGUUUCGGGGAGCUUGAGACUGGGGGGGAGUUGCCAGUGGCGGGGAUCAAAUGUAAUUACGACGACUUUCUUUUUUCUUUUUUCUUUUUUCUUUUUCAAUUUCUAUACUAAAAUAGGGGAAUUAAAAUACUUUUCAAAAAAUAUUAAAUUUAAUCUAGGUUGUUUUAUAAUAAAAAUUUAUUUUAUUAAUUGUUUACAUUUUUUCUCCAAAUUAUGAAACCUAAUGCUUUUUGUUUUACUGUUUGAAAAUAUUAUUGUUAUUUAACUUAAAUUGAAUAAAAAAAUUAUUUUAAAAGAUAGAAAUGUUUAAAAUAUUUAUAAAUAUAGCAAAUUUAAAAGAUUUUCUUUUUUUUUUUCCCAAAUAGUUAACGUAUGUUAUUGGACUCUCCAAGUAACUAAUGAUUUAACGUGGAUUUUUGUCUAUUAAAAAAUGUUAAUGAAUGAUUAAAGGUUGAUUUGAGAGAUGUAAGCAUAAAAAAAAAACUAGUUUAACAUAUACAAUGAAAUUUAGACCAAAUUAUAGGGAUUUAAUUGAAAGUUUAAUGCUAAGUUGAUGUCACCCUUCCUUGGGCGUUUCCAAUUUGUUGUUUAGAAAACUAAUUCAAUGGUCUUCCUUGAGUCAUUUAUGGUUGUAACAUGGCUGAGUAACGAUAGCUUCUUGGUUAACAGUAAACCAUUCCCCAUCGAUAUUAUUCCUCGUGGAAUUUACAAUAUACAUAUCUCACGAGUGUCCACAUCCGCUUAGACAUAACAAACCACUGUUCCAAAUUUGAUCAUUUCUUCAUCUAAGACUGGAAUGUUAUAGAACUUGCGAAAUAGCAAAGAAUUGAUAGCCAAUAAAUGGGAGUUCUUUAUCAUAUGAUCCUAAUUGACGUAUUUAAUGUCAAGAUUCAAGACAAACGAACAUUCAUUCAAAACCAAAACCGAUCUCUUGAAAUUUCUAAAAUUGUAAUUUUUCCACUUCACCCUCUUCUUUCUUCGUCUUUAUCGUGCCUUUCCCAAGUACUUAACUGCUUCCAUUUCUUCUGAAAUCAAGAGUGACAUCCCAACUCUAAGAAAGAAGCAAAUUACUAUUUUAUUCUGUCCUGAAUUGAGAAGGAUGUGUUAGGAAAGGUGUCCAUUCCAUCUCCCUCCUCGUUUGAUUGAUUAUCAUACGGCCACAAAUGUGCUUCAAAAUGGCUGAGUAUACCUGCAAACAAACACAUAUCCCUGGAUAGGCUACACAAGAGAGGAGUCUUCAUCCGAGCAACAUAAACUAGCACAAUCCAUGAACGACUAAGAUCAUGCUCAACGGUGAUCUUGGUAAAACCUAGAUUGAUAUUCCAGGAAUUAAAAUGGAAAUUUGGGAAACAAUGGGAUGCAGAGGGGGAAAAGCUCUACAAAUGACCAAUUCUCAACAAAUGAUAAUCUGCUAUUGAAUGUGCAAGUUUGUGAUCCAAUUUAAUUGUAAAAAAUGCCUGAAGUGAAAAGGCAUUCGUCUUAAACAGAGUACAAAACAAAUAAAAAGUGAACAAAGGAUCAAGGGCACAUCCAGAUAUAUCAACUAGAUGGAGUAAGGAGGCAAUAUGCAGCUUUUAAGGAGUGAACACCAAGGUUGUAUACAUGUAGCCACAUAUUGUUGAAAGCUUCCCCACAUAGAAAGUCUGGGAAAAACUGAAGGAUUACAAUAAAUGGCAUUCAUAUAGCUUAGGUUUUUGUUAUGUGCUGAUGGCUCAACAAUCGAAUCAGCACAAGACCGUCCAUAAGCACAGAGACUUCAAACAACAGAAAAAGCGUAUGAAUUCUAGAAUCUAGAGAAUCAACUAAAUCCAAGACAAAUCAACAAAAUCACAAAGAGCAAUGACAGCUACAUUACUACAAACAGCUUAGUUUCAGAUAUUUGCCAAUGCAACGGAAGCUAUCCCUAAAAUUCCACUAUGACAAACUUGAACAUCACGAUGCAUGAGAGCCAGUUAAUCAGCAGAGGACCAUACAAGCACAUUGCAACUGUCAUUCACAAAAAUAGAAACACGCAAGAGAUGUGUGAUAGAAAGACAUUGACAACCAAAGAAUUAUCAAAAGGCUUGAGAUGUGUAUUAAAAGAUAUAUGCCAUUGCACAGAUAGUUCACCUCACUUUAUACAGGGGAACUUGUAAAAGACAGUGGCAAGAGUGUAGCUUAGGUUUUUGUUAUGUACCGAUAGCGAGAAAUGAAUCGGCACAAGACCGUCCAUAAGCACAAACACAAAUAGCCAGAUGAUUAAAAAUUAGCACCAUGUUGUGAUUCAGACAUCUGCCAUAACAUGGAUAUAUUUUCCUUAAAAAACCUAAAGAAAAACUUGAAAGACAAAGAUGGCAAGAAUGUAGCCUAUGAAUAUGUUGUGUGCUGGUGAUGGUAAAUUAAUCAUCACAAGACCGCACAUAAGCACACUACCAAAUAGCAUAAAUAACCAAAAAGUUAAUUUCUGUACACAACAUUUCAUGCACUUUCUUGGUGCUAACUGCUAAGGACUUGGAAAGUUCAGAGACGUUUUUUAAAAAGAUAAUCGAAACUGAUGCAAACCGUAGAUCAAAAAGUUCUUUUGUAUAUCCGUGAAUCCUAGACAGGUGAUCACCGCAGAGUAAACACAUUCACCCGAAGUUCUUUGCAAACCAUAGGUUGAAAAAACCAAAUAACAUAAAAAUUCUUGGGGCUAGACAUUAGAUGGGUGAAGACCUCAAAAUUAGCUUUGAAACAUAAUGUAAUGAAUGUGGCCCAAGACCCAGUUAAAGGAAAAAUACACACAGCAAUGCAAAUAAAAUAAUUGUAUUGUUAAAUCAUGGAAUGGACAAAAAAACCACUCAGGGACUCAGGGUAUCUCAGAAGAGAAGAUCAAAUUUUCAAGUAAAGUGGAUUUUUUUACACAAAAAGUGCCAUUGAUAUAUGGAAGCUAGAAGAAUCACAAACCAACUACAAUCUCCCACAAUCAUCAUUGUAAUGAAUAACAAUAACAAAUUCUGAAAAUAAUAACGUCCACAAGUGAUAGGCAAAAUGAAGGAACAAAAUUUAAAGCUUUAAACAAACAAAUCAAAAUGUAAAUCGGAAGAAAAAGGGGUGCAGAUUGAGCUUGAAAUCAUGGAAUUGACAAAAACAGAGGCAAACCCAUCAGGAAUAUGGUGAUAAUUAAGAGGAAAAUGAUGCUGAAAACAAAACAAGUUGCAAGACGUGUUAAUAUGGGUUCGAAAAUGCAUAAAAUGGGGACUAAAAUCAAAGGGAGUCGCAAAGGAAUAUGAUCAUUCAGAGAAGAAACUAAGAAUCGGCGGGUUGGAAAUUGGGCAUUAUAUAUAAGAAGUGUUGCGGCGCUUAAGGUUUUAUUCUGGAGGGAGCUCGGUGAUUUCUAGGGUUAUCGGUUGCAGUUGGGUGGGGG
This 30458-nucleotide long non-coding RNA is filed under the name Cucumis sativus (cucumber). RNAcentral's name for it is "long non-coding RNA (CSAT_LNC000520)". Lineage: Eukaryota; Viridiplantae; Streptophyta; Magnoliopsida; Cucurbitales; Cucurbitaceae. The record is from RNAcentral.